This 547-nucleotide ribosomal RNA is filed under the name Oenococcus oeni. RNAcentral's name for it is "bacterial SSU rRNA". It matches the Rfam family "Bacterial small subunit ribosomal RNA", at positions 668 to 1214 of the family's 1533-position model. Lineage: Bacteria; Bacillati; Bacillota; Bacilli; Lactobacillales; Lactobacillaceae. The record is from RNAcentral.
UCCAUGUGUAGCGGUGAAAUGCGUAGAUAUGUGGAAGAACACCAGUGGCGAAAGCGGCUUGCUAGAUCGUAACUGACGUUGAGGCUCGAAAGUAUGGGUAGCAAACGGGAUUAGAUACCCCGGUAGUCCAUACCGUAAACGAUGGGUGCUAGUUGUUAAGAGGUUUCCGCCUCCUAGUGACGUAGCAAACGCAUUAAGCACCCCGCCUGAGGAGUACGGCCGCAAGGCUAAAACUUAAAGGAAUUGACGGGGACCCGCACAAGCGGUGGAGCAUGUGGUUUAAUUCGAAGAUACGCGAAAAACCUUACCAGGUCUUGACAUACCAAUGAUCGCUUUUGUAAUGAAAGCUUUUCUUCGGAACAUUGGAUACAGGUGGUGCAUGGUCGUCGUCAGCUCGUGUCGUGAGAUGUUGGGUUAAGUCCCGCAACGAGCGCAACCCUUGUUAUUAGUUGCCAGCAUUUAGUUGGGCACUCUAAUGAGACUGCCGGUGAUAAACCGGAGGAAGGUGGGGACGACGUCAGAUCAUCAUGCCCCUUAUGACCUGGGC